Molecule: long non-coding RNA, 2183 nt
Organism: Macaca mulatta (Rhesus monkey)
Lineage: Eukaryota; Metazoa; Chordata; Mammalia; Primates; Cercopithecidae
Source: Ensembl
GCGCAGGCGCGGGGCUGCCGCCGCUGUAGGAGGCGCGAGCAGCCUGGCUUACCCGGGCGUGUGGAGUUGCCGCGGUACCGUACUAUUCCUCAUUGCAAAAUCUUUAUGACACUUAAGAAAAGAAUCACCAGCCUGGGCAACCUGGGGAGGCCCCGUCUCUACAAAAAAAUUAAAAAAUUAGCCGAGUGUGGUGGCGCGCGGCCGUGGUCCCAGCUACUCUGGAGGCUGAGGCCCAGGAGUUCGAGGCCGCAGUGAGCUAUGAACGUGCCACUGCACUCCAGCCUGGGCCACAGAGCAAGACCCCGUUUCAAAUAAAAGAAAAGAAGUUACCGAAAUACAGAUGUGCAAUUUUUAUUCCUUAGCCUAGUCUCAUCUCUGCUGCAUGUGACUGUUGUUCACAUAUUAAUUCCACCACAAUUUAAGUUCCUCCUGUGUGCCAGGGAAGCGCCCUUAACAGAAGCUGGGGAAACAACCAGGAACAAGACAGAUGCUGUGCCUGCCCUCAUGGGGAUUACUUUCUAGUUGAGAAAGGAGAUACUAAAUGGAGAAGGAAAAUAAGCUGCUGAGAAAUUAAAGGAAGACAGGUGACCUUUUGAUUUGAGAUGUCAAGAAAGUGCCCUCUGAAGAGGUUCGGUAAACUGAGAGGAAGCCGGCUCUGGAGAUACAAGGAAAGAACAGCCAACAGAAGGAUCUACAUGUGAGCAAGCAACAAGGAAGGAGCAGAAUGUGGUGCCUUGAAGAAAAGGAGAAAGUGGGUCAUGGGAAGCACGGAGGAUGAGAUCAACGAGGCCAGGAGAGUCCCCAUCAUGCACAGACUCUCUGGGGCCCUGUGAGGGAUACGGAGUUUAUUCCAAGUGUAAUGGGAAACUAGUGAAGAGUUUUCAACACGUGAGUGACAGGAUCUCGUUUCGUAGCAUCAUCGCCCUGCUUGCUGCUGUGUAUACAUGGAACUUUUGAGAAACAAUUUAAAAGGAUGCAGAGAGAAGAGUUGCUUUUGCAAUGAGCAGGUUCUCUUCCCUGCUGAGUUGUGAAGAAGGCACCUGCUUCCUCUUACACCGUGAUUGUUAAGUUUCCUGAGGCCUCCCCAGCCUUGCAGAACUAGGCCUAAUUUUCUACUCUGGGACCUGUCGUCUGUGUCGGUAACUCCUGUCUGCAUCCCGGAUGUGCUGUGUGGUUCCCAGGUGCUCCAUCUACAUUGUGGACUGCACUAGAAUUAAAUGGACUCACUUCAAUGGAAAAAGUCAAAUGGCAGAUUUGAAGAGUCGGAGUUGGGAUUUAAAGAGACUGUAAAUUCUGCAGUCCAAAGGCACCCAGGAUUUUUUAGUUUCUUGUUUUUGCUUGUUAUUGCUUAAUCUUUUUGGAACAAGUAGGAUUAUUUUCUAACCUGUCGUCAGAGUUGGGGUGGGUGUUCCUGUCACACAGGGAGGAGCAGGACCAGUCCUCAGGCUCAGCAUUGGCACGUAAUUUGGGUUUUUAUCUCUGAGGUGAUUGAGGCGUGGACCUAGUUGGAAGGCUGGUGAUUGACUGAGACAGUCUCUCGAGGCCUUUGCAACCCUGUAGGGUUUUGUUUUUUGUUUUUGAAAGGGAGUUUCGCUCUUGUCGCCCAGGCUGGCAUCUAAUGACGCGAUCUCGGCUCACUGUCACCUCUGCCUUGCAGGUUCAAGCGAUUCUCCUGCCUCAGCCAGCUAAGCAGCUGGGGUUACAGGCGCCCACCACCACGCCCGGCUAAUGUUUUUGUAUAUUUAGUAGAAACGGGGUUUCAGCAUGUGGGCCAGACUGGUCUUAAACUCCUAACCUCAGGUGAUCCACCUGCCUUGGCCUCCCAAAGUUCUGGGAUUACAGGCGUGAUCCACCGCGCCCAUCCCAACCCUGUGGUUUUAUAAUUCCAUGGUAAUGUUAGGGUGACUAUCUUAUGCCUACUUUAAGAUAAAACUCAGAAGAUGGUGGAGACAUAAACUGAAGAUUACUCCAGCUGGUCCUGAAAGCUUACAAUUUGGCUUUCUUUCACAAGGGAUAAAAAUACUCCUUUAGUACCACGGUGUUUUUACAGCUCUGAGAUUAUAAUUUUUGAAGUGUAAGUCAGUGAAGUGUAAGUCAGAUCUAAUGACCCCACCUUGUAUAAUGCUCUAGUGCCUUCUCCUUGCCGAUAGAAUAAAUCCAAACACCUCAUUGUGGUGUCAGCU